UACGUAGGUGGCAAGCGUUGUCCGGAUUUACUGGGCGUAAAGAGCGCGCAGGCGGUCGGAUAAGUCGAAUGUGAAAGCCCCUGGCUCAACCAGGGAGGGUCAUUCGAUACUGUUCGACUCGAAGGCAGAAGAGGGAAGUGGAAUUCCGGGUGUAGUGGUGAAAUGCGUAGAUAUCCGGAGGAACACCAGUGGCGAAGGCGACUUUCUGGCCUGUUCUUGACGCUGAGGCGCGAAAGCUAGGGGAGCAAACGGG
This 253-nucleotide ribosomal RNA is filed under the name uncultured bacterium. RNAcentral describes it as "partial 16S ribosomal RNA". It matches the Rfam family "Bacterial small subunit ribosomal RNA", at positions 524 to 776 of the family's 1533-position model. The record is from RNAcentral.